GACCAGAUAGCCUAGUGGUUAAAGGCAGCACAUCUAGUGCAUGCUGAGGUCCCAGGCUCAAAUCCUGGUCUGGUAA
RNAcentral lists this transfer RNA (76 nucleotides) under Cronartium ribicola 11-2. RNAcentral's name for it is "tRNA-Thr (AGT) (tRNA-Thr-AGT-92-1)". It matches the Rfam family "tRNA". From Rfam's summary of the family: Transfer RNA (tRNA) molecules are approximately 80 nucleotides in length. The record is from RNAcentral. Lineage: Eukaryota; Fungi; Basidiomycota; Pucciniomycetes; Pucciniales; Coleosporiaceae.